AACGCGAAGAACCUUACCAGGUCUUGACAUCCCUCUGAAUACGUUAGAGAUAGCGUAGGCCUUCGGGACAGAGGAGACAGGUGGUGCAUGGUUGUCGUCAGCUCGUGUCGUGAGAUGUUGGGUUAAGUCCCGCAACGAGCGCAACCCUUGAAUUCAGUUGCCAGCAGGUAAGGCUGGGCACUCUGAAUUGACUGCCGGUGACAAACCGGAGGAAGGUGGGGAUGACGUCAAAUCAUCAUGCCCCUUAUGACCUGGGCUACACACGUACUACAAUGGUCGGUACAACGGGAAGCGAAGCCGCGAGGUGGAGCCAAUCCUAGAAAAGCCGGUCUCAGUUCGGAUUGCAGGCUGCAACUCGCCUGCAUGAAGUCGGAAUUGCUAGUAAUCGCGGAUCAGCAUGCCGCGGUGAAUACGUUCCCGGGCCUUGU
Molecule: ribosomal RNA, 428 nt
Filed under: uncultured Bacillota bacterium
Lineage: Bacteria; Bacillati; Bacillota
Description: bacterial SSU rRNA
Rfam family: Bacterial small subunit ribosomal RNA
Source: RNAcentral